Molecule: ribosomal RNA, 254 nt
Filed under: uncultured bacterium
Lineage: Bacteria
Description: partial 16S ribosomal RNA
Rfam family: Bacterial small subunit ribosomal RNA
Source: RNAcentral
UACGGAGGGGGCGAGCGUUGUCCGGAUUUACUGGGCGUAAAGCGCGUGCAGGCGGCGCGUUUAAGUGGGGGUGUAAAGCCCGGGGCUCAACCCCGGGACGCCGCUCCAAACUGAAGCGCUUGAGGCCGGAAGAGGGGAGUGGAAUUCCUGGUGUAGCGGUGGAAAUGCGUAGAGAUCAGGAGGAACACCCGUGGCGAAGGCGGCUCCCUGGUCCGGUUCGACGCUCAGACGCGAAAGCGCGGGGAGCGAACGGG